CCUACGGGAGGCAGCAGUGGGGAAUAUUGGACAAUGGGGGGAACCCUGAUCCAGCCAUGCCGCGUGUGUGAAGAAGGCCCUCGGGUUGUAAAGCACUUUCAGUGAGGAAGAACGCCUGGUGGUUAAUACCCAUCAGGAAAGACAUCACCCACAGAAGAAGCACCGGCUAACUCCGUGCCAGCAGCCGCGGUAAUACGGAGGGUGCGAGCGUUAAUCGGAAUUACUGGGCGUAAAGCGCGCGUAGGUGGCUUGAUAAGCCGGUUGUGAAAGCCCCGGGCUCAACCUGGGAACGGCAUCCGGAACUGUCAAGCUAGAGUGCAGGAGAGGAAGGUAGAAUUCCCGGUGUAGCGGUGAAAUGCGUAGAGAUCGGGAGGAAUACCAGUGGCGAAGGCGGCCUUCUGGACUGACACUGACACUGAGGUGCGAAAGCGUGGGUAGCAAACAGGAUUAGAUACCCCAGUAGUC
This 465-nucleotide ribosomal RNA is filed under the name Vreelandella stevensii. RNAcentral's name for it is "partial 16S ribosomal RNA". It matches the Rfam family "Bacterial small subunit ribosomal RNA", at positions 338 to 795 of the family's 1533-position model. Lineage: Bacteria; Pseudomonadati; Pseudomonadota; Gammaproteobacteria; Oceanospirillales; Halomonadaceae. The record is from RNAcentral.